This 294-nucleotide unclassified non-coding RNA is filed under the name plant metagenome. RNAcentral's name for it is "partial contains 5.8S ribosomal RNA, internal transcribed spacer 2, and large subunit ribosomal RNA". The stretch from base 1 to 105 matches the Rfam family "5.8S ribosomal RNA", at positions 50 to 154 of the family's 154-position model. The record is from RNAcentral.
GAAAUGCGAUAAGUAAUGUGAAUUGCAGAAUUCAGUGAAUCAUCGAAUCUUUGAACGCACAUUGCGCCCCUUGGUAUUCCGGGGGGCAUGCCUGUUCGAGCGUCAUUUCAACCCUCAAGCUCUGCUUGGUAUUGGGCACCGUCCUUUGCGGGCGCGCCUCAAAGACCUCGGCGGUGGCGUCUUGCCUCAAGCGUAGUAGAAACGCGAACUCGUGAGCCCGUCCGGGCGGCUCCCAGAAGCUACACCCACCCAGUUUGACCUCGGAUCAGGUAGGGAUACCCGCUGAACUUAAGC